RNAcentral lists this ribosomal RNA (477 nucleotides) under Clostridioides difficile. RNAcentral describes it as "partial 23S ribosomal RNA". It matches the Rfam family "Bacterial large subunit ribosomal RNA", at positions 950 to 1434 of the family's 2925-position model. The record is from RNAcentral. Lineage: Bacteria; Bacillati; Bacillota; Clostridia; Peptostreptococcales; Peptostreptococcaceae.
CAAACUCCGAAUGCCGUCAUCUUAUACUUGGGAGUCAGACUGUGGGUGAUAAGAUUCAUAGUCGAAAGGGCAACAGCCCAGAUCGUCAGCUAAGGUCCCUAAAUGUAAGUUAAGUGGUAAAGGAUGUGGGAUUGCACAGACAACCAGGAUGUUGGCUUAGAAGCAGCCACUCAUUCAAAGAGUGCGUAAUAGCUCACUGGUCGAGUGAUCCUGCGCCGAAGAUUUCCGGGGCUAAAACUUACUACCGAAGCUACGGCAUCAGUAAUGAUGGGUAGGGGAGCUUCCCAUACGGGUUGAAGCAUGACCGUAAGGACAUGUGGACAGUAUGGGAGUGAGAAUGUUGGCAUGAGUAGCGAGAUGUGGGUGAGAAUCCCACAGGCCGUAAACCCAAGGUUUCCAGGGGAAGGUUCGUCCGCCCUGGGUUAGUCGGGACCUAAGCUGAGGCCGAAAGGCGUAGGUGAUGGACAACAGGUUGAU